GGGGAUAGCUCAGUGGUAGAGUGCACGCCCAGCAGGCGUGAGGUCCUGGGUUCAAUCUCCAGUAUCUCCA
Molecule: transfer RNA, 70 nt
Filed under: Camelus bactrianus (Bactrian camel)
Lineage: Eukaryota; Metazoa; Chordata; Mammalia; Artiodactyla; Camelidae
Also listed under: 2 other names
Rfam family: tRNA
About the family: Transfer RNA (tRNA) molecules are approximately 80 nucleotides in length. Their secondary structure includes four short double-helical elements and three loops (D, anti-codon, and T loops). Further hydrogen bonds mediate the characteristic L-shaped molecular structure. tRNAs have two regions of fundamental functional importance: the anti-codon, which is responsible for specific mRNA codon recognition, and the 3' end, to which the tRNAs corresponding amino acid is attached (by aminoacyl-tRNA synthetases). tRNAs cope with the degeneracy of the genetic code in two manners: having more than one tRNA (with a specific anti-codon) for a particular amino acid; and 'wobble' base-pairing, i.e. permitting non-standard base-pairing at the 3rd anti-codon position.
Source: Rfam by way of RNAcentral